UUAAACAUGAGAGUUUGAUCCUGGCUCAGGAUGAACGCUGGCGGCGUGCUUAACACAUGCAAGUCGAACGAAGCACUUUAUUUGAUUUCUUCGGAAUGAAGAUUUUGUGACUGAGUGGCGGACGGGUGAGUAACGCGUGGGUAACCUGCCUCAUACAGGGGGAUAACAGUUGGAAACGACUGCUAAUACCGCAUAAGCGCACAGGGUCGCAUGACCUGGUGUGAAAAACUCCGGUGGUAUGAGAUGGACCCGCGUCUGAUUAGCCAGUUGGUGGGGUAACGGCCUACCAAAGCGACGAUCAG
RNAcentral lists this ribosomal RNA (302 nucleotides) under Roseburia intestinalis. RNAcentral describes it as "partial 16S ribosomal RNA". It matches the Rfam family "Bacterial small subunit ribosomal RNA", at positions 1 to 283 of the family's 1533-position model. Lineage: Bacteria; Bacillati; Bacillota; Clostridia; Lachnospirales; Lachnospiraceae. The record is from RNAcentral.